This 3986-nucleotide long non-coding RNA is filed under the name Anas platyrhynchos (mallard). Its description in RNAcentral is "lncRNA (ENSAPLG00020004773.1)". The record is from RNAcentral. Lineage: Eukaryota; Metazoa; Chordata; Aves; Anseriformes; Anatidae.
ACGCGAGCAGGUGCACUUCCUGCUCGGGUGAGAGGUUCCUGGUGAGCGUGAUGGCUGGGCAGUGCUGCUCGGGCGAGCAGCUCGUUGUCUGAUGCAUUUCGUUGAGACAAUCACAGAUCAUAAGGAAAAUGCUGGCACUUAAGACAUAAGAGCGUGGUGGCUGUGCAGCGUGUCAUUUCAGGUGUAUGCAGUUUGUGGUUUGCCCGUGGCCUUCGGAAGGGAGGAGGGGAGCAGCACAGCAACGUUGCUGUCAGCCAGCAGCUCUGGAGGACUCGUUCAUCACGUUCCUCGGACCAAAGAAGCCUGCAUAUACAGACAGCAUGACUGGAAUUCCUUUUAUCUACGUCAUACAUAAGAAAGUAAAACAACUGCUGGGGCAUCUGCAUGAUAUUUGGAUGUGGUAGAACUGGCCUUUUAUCCCACUCAUUCCACCAUGGCCCGCCUGGACUUACUUUCCUUUUCCCAAGGCAGCACCCUUCACCUGAGAUCAAUGAGCCUCUGUUUAUCACUCUAUUCUUCAUCUUUCAAAGGCUGGUCCUUCUCUGAAGGUCAGUAGCUAAACUACUUCAUUCAGCUCCAAGAGGAGAGGAAGGUCUUCAAUAUUCAGUAGUGGUUAAACACUCCCCUUUUAAUUGCAGUCCCAUAAAUAGGAGACAAUGCACCACUGCACUCCAGAUGAUUUCCUUCUUUAUGCAAACAUUAUGGGACAACAGAAUUCACAGGAAAAUAAUGGUUUGCAUAUUUGUUGGGGGGGAGGUAUUGUGACACAAAGGGUGGUAAGAAGCCUCAGAGGAUUGUUUGCCUUCUGAAACUAAUAUAUCCAACAGUCUUCCAUCUUUAAAACACCCCAUCUGUCCUUACCAAUUUUUGUAGCAUCAUGCUGAUGACCGUAAUCCAUCAAAUGGAAAUGUUUUCAAUAUUGAAUAGUGAGUGACAGUGAGGGUGUUUCUUGUACAUGAUAGAGCAGAAGCAGACUAACCUCUGGAAGUGCGGUUACAUAUAGCUGGGAAGGCACAGCUUUCCAUGUUGGGCACCAGAGAGAUGAAAAACAGUAGUUCUGGCAUUUUACAUUCCAUUUUUGUUCCCUAAAGAAAAGCUUCAAGCUUCCAGUGAAGCUUGGCUAUUCAAAAUCUCAGUAGCUAACAGUGGCUUGUGCCACUUAUUUAUGCAUUACUAAAUUCCCAUAAUUUCCCUGUGUUUCCUAAACAAUUUACAUGCUGCUGAAGUGCUGUUGGCUUCGCAGGAAAAAUACCUAAUACCACCUCAGAAAGUUAACAGAAAAGCUGCUUUUAAUUACAACUUACCUUCCUGACUCUGAUGAGGUAUUCACAGCUUGGGAAGGGUGGGAAGGCACCAUGUGAAGGUUAGCAAAACAUUACGUGUCCCAUUUCAUGAGCUUCAAAUAAGUAUACAGGCUUUAGGUUAUUUCAACAGCUUGUGUGUGCAGGAACUGGAUCACAUGAAAUGAAGUUGUUUCAAUGUAUGUAGAUUUAAUGUACUUUUCUGACUCAGUGUAAACAAGCCCUUAGGUCACAGAUCUAGAGUGUGGUGUACACCUCUGUUUCACUUAACAAUCACACUGAAGGCAACAAGCUUAUUCAUGUGAAAAAUAAUGCUCCUGUAUUUGAAAAAGUAGAUCCUUAUAUUUUAAAUCUCCCUGGAAGCAUCAUGCCUGUUAAAUUACCUAACUUUCUGGGAUAUUAUUAAUGUUCUGCAAAGUUACGUGUGACUAAAGGAGGGUAGGUUUAGAUUAGAUAUAAGGAAGAAAUUCUUCACUCAGAGGGUGGUGAGGCCCUGGCACAGGCUGCCCAGAGAAGUUGUGGAUGCCCCAUCCCUGGAGGUGCUCAAGGCCAGGCUGGAUGGGGCUUUGGGCAACCUGGUCUGGUGGAGGUGUUCCUGCCCACGGCAGAGGGGGUGGAAAUGGGUGGUCUUUAAGGUUCCUUCCAACCUGAGCCAUUCUGUGAUUCUGUUGUUUAUAUACCUUUCAUGCCCAUAUGCUUUUAUUGACAAUUACUUGCCUUGAAACUAAAGAAUAGUUAACCUUUUACUACAGGGGUUUUACAUUAGAAGAACAAAUGCUUAUCACUUAAAUAUUUGUGCAUAUAUAUGCUAUAUUGGCAUACAUGAUUUAUAUACACACAUAUCUCAUCUAGCAUUUUUCAGAUUUAGGCUAUAGCACAUUGAUGAUACAUAUAUAUAUGUAGAAAUCUACUUGUUAAUAAUUGUAUUAAAACAUAAAUACACAGCCAAACUGCAGGCAAAUUAGCUAUAUAGUAAAUAUAGAUGUGUCAUGGAAAAGAACACAACCAUAUUCUGGAAAUUUCCUGCUUUUUUUUUUGUUUUUGUUUUUGUUUUUUUUUUUUGUUUGUUUGUUUUUUUCCAGAGUUAGCAGAAGAAAAUGUCUCUGCAGGCCUAAAAUGCUGAACAGCCUGACAAGAACACUGUAAUUCGACAUGUGAAUACCUCAAAAAGUAGUUUAUGAAUCUCCAUAUCUCAGAGGAAUCCCCCCCCAAAGGUCUCUUGGUUUUACAGUGGACUAAUUCAAGAUGGUUUCUGCUAGAAGUAAAGAAAGAACUGAAAAAGCACACAAUAUUUUUUUUCCUAUAACAGAAUGCUGAUACACCUAAAUCAGUGAUGGAUGUGGUUGCUACUCAAAAAUAAUUGUGCAAAUCAUUAGGGUGGGGCAACCAAAUGUUGAAAAUAUUUUAAAAUGUCUCCCUCAUACCAAUAUGCCAUUUUGUUCAUGAACUACUAAUGGGAGGGUGUUUGAGACAGCUGUGCCACCAAACUUUCUCUGUAUCUAAAAUACAUACGUUUUUAUCACCUCACUUUCUCCACAGAUUUCUGCUGCAAAUUCAAUAUUUACUACUCUUCCUGUGCUAGCAUAUGAACGUCAUCUUUCUAGAUAACAUGGCUGACAAAAAAAUGACAGUACAAAUUACCCUGUAUAGGAAACCACAAAUCAACACGCUCUUCACAAAAUCAGCCACCAUGCAAAACACAGUAGAAAAAAGUCUUUAAAAAAUGCUCUGCGAGGCACAGGCUAUGCUUUUGAAUUAGACAACAGAAUACCAUCUAUGAACAUAACAAUGCAAAAAGGAAACCCUAACUGACAGCAUGUUCCUGCCUAUUACAUAUGUUUUGAUGCUGGUAUGUGUAUAGAAAAUUGUUAAAUAAUUACAGCACCUACUAACAUACGUCCUUGAAGAAUUCUUCCUGGAGCCCUUUUCCACCUCCCUUUUCAAACAAUGCUUCCAGUGUUAAACUCCUAAUCCAAAGCAAAUUUCCCCUCUACUAACAAGCACCCAUCAGAACCAAAUCUUGCCAGCACAGCAAAUGCAAAACUCAUGAAUACCAACAUAUUUAACAUAAUUGAUGCCAGUGCCCCAAAGAAUUUCCACUGGUCUUGUUUAUCCACUUUUUAAAACGUGCUAUAUUACAUCAAGCACAUCAAACACCCUCAUGAGAAUUAUGUGUAUGAAAGUAAUCAACCAAUAUUUGUUACAAUGAACUCACAGAGAUAACUGAUUAAAGACAAAACAUAGCAAAUGAUAGGAAAAUAUUUUUUAAAUAAAAGAAAAAAAUUCCAUUCCUUGCACAGUCCAAUCCUCAAAGGGGACCUGCAAAUCAUUUUCAAAAAGUGAUCCUGGGAACUAAAUUCUUAACAACGGAUAAACAAAUUGUGGACUCAGUAGUGACAUUGUCUCUAAAGCUUACCGUUUUCUUGCUGAUUCAUCCCUGUACAUUCAUGUUAGCAACUGUUCUCUCUCCCAUGGUUUAAUUGAUUAAAAUGUUUUAUUAUACUAUGAACAAUCACAUCUAACUUGUAUUUUGUUUGGAUUUUGCUACUUGUCAGAUCUGAUUAAUGGAUGUCAGUCAAGUUCACAAGCUUGUUUGUUUUCUCCAGUUCUAUCAGUUCUUCUAAUUAAAGAUUAUUACCUCAUCUACGAAAUUUGCCUCACUUGUACCACAGCAAAACAGCGACA